UACGAAGGGGGCUAGCGUUGCUCGGAAUCACUGGGCGUAAAGCGCACGUAGGCGGAUCUUUAAGUCAGGGGUGAAAUCCCAAGGCUCAACCUUGGAACUGCCUUUGAUACUGGGGAUCUCGAGUCCGGAAGAGGUGAGUGGAACUGCGAGUGUAGAGGUGAAAUUCGUAGAUAUUCGCAAGAACACCUGUGGCGAAAGCGGCGCAGCCGUGGACCAUACUGACGCUGAGUGACGCGGAAGCAUAGGG
Molecule: ribosomal RNA, 247 nt
Filed under: uncultured bacterium
Lineage: Bacteria
Description: partial 16S ribosomal RNA
Rfam family: Bacterial small subunit ribosomal RNA
Source: RNAcentral